GAUGAACGCUGGCGGCGUGCCUAAUACAUGCGAGUCGAGCGAACGGACGAGAAGCUUGCUUCUCUGAUGUUAGCGGCGGACGGGUGAGUAACACGUGGAUAACCUACCUAUAAGACUGGGAUAACUUCGGGAAACCGGAGCUAAUACCGGAUGAUAUUUUGAACCGCAUGGUUCAAAAGUGAAAGACGGUCUUGCUGUCACUUAUAGAUGGGUCCGCGCUGCAUUAGCUAGUUGGUAAGGUAACGGCUUACCAAGGCAACGAUGCAUAGCCGACCUGAGAGGGUGAUCGGCCACACUGGAACUGAGACACGGUCCAGACUCCUACGGGAGGCAGCAGUAGGGAAUCUUCCGCAAUGGGCGAAAGCCUGACGGAGCAACGCCGCGUGAGUGAUGAAGGUCUUCGGAUCGUAAAACUCUGUUAUUAGGGAAGAACAUAUGUGUAAGUAACUGUGCACAUCUUGACGGUACCUAAUCAGAAAGCCACGGCUAACUACGUG
RNAcentral lists this ribosomal RNA (497 nucleotides) under uncultured bacterium. Its description in RNAcentral is "partial 16S ribosomal RNA". It matches the Rfam family "Bacterial small subunit ribosomal RNA", at positions 28 to 507 of the family's 1533-position model. The record is from RNAcentral.